Molecule: RNA transcript, 2052 nt
Organism: Strigops habroptila (Kakapo)
Lineage: Eukaryota; Metazoa; Chordata; Aves; Psittaciformes; Psittacidae
Gene: AP3S1
Gene name: adaptor related protein complex 3 subunit sigma 1
Exons: 8
Source: RefSeq, a predicted model, not a curated record
CCUUCCUGUCAGGUGACGCGGCGCGGCGUUGUGUGGCGUGGCGUGGCGUUUCGCGGCGUGGCGACGCUCCGCUGCUAACGGAGGCCGGCGACGUCGUGCAGCGCGACCGGCUGCCGCCGCCCCGAGAGCGGGGCGUGACGGGCGGGCAGGAGGAGGAGGAGCAGGGGCAGCAGGGGCGCAGCGAGCCCGGCGAGCCCGGCGGCCGCCGCCCCACCAUGAUCAAAGCCAUCCUCAUCUUCAACAACCACGGCAAGCCUCGGCUGUCCAAGUUCUACCACCGCUAUAGUGAAGAUACGCAGCAACAAGUUAUCAGAGAAACUUUCCAUUUAGUAUCGAAACGUGAUGAAAAUGUCUGUAACUUCCUAGAAGGAGGAUUAUUAAUAGGUGGAUCUGAUAACAAACUAAUUUACCGACACUAUGCCACCUUGUAUUUUGUCUUCUGUGUGGAUUCUUCAGAAAGUGAGCUUGGCAUUUUAGACCUCAUACAAGUAUUUGUGGAGACACUAGACAAAUGUUUUGAAAAUGUCUGUGAACUGGAUUUAAUUUUCCAUGUAGACAAGGUCCAUAAUAUAUUGGCUGAAAUGGUCAUGGGUGGAAUGGUUUUGGAGACCAACAUGAAUGAAAUUGUCACUCAGAUUGAUGCUCAAAAUAAACUGGAGAAAUCUGAGUUCAGUGACUGUUUCUUUUCAAGUUUAACAGUUGAGAUACUGUUAUGCUGAGAUACUUCACAAUACCUGACCUUUAUCUUUCAGUCUCCCAGACAGGACAGGUAGACAAAGGCUGGUUUAGCAGGAGCUCCAGCCCGGGCUGUUUCAGCUGUGAAGAAUAUGAAUCUGCCAGAGAUCCCAAGAAAUAUUAAUAUUGGUGACAUCAGUAUAAAAGUACCAAACCUGCCCUCUUUUAGAUAACAUGUCUACUCCAGGUAAAACCACGGAAGAAAUGUAACAGAGAUUUACCACGUAAUUGUUUACUAAAUAAACAACAUGUCUAACUUUUACUAUUUGGAUCAAACUCAAGGUACUGUAUAGACAUAAUUUGAAAAUCUGUGUGGAGUUGAAUGUUGCUUUUGUCUUGUUUGUGAAAUUAAAGGAAAUGGGUAGUUCCCAUGUGAUUUCCAAAUUACAUUCCUAUGCCCUUGUAAGGCAUAUCACUGUGUCUCGGCUGCUACAGUAUUUUGGGAAAGUAUUUAAGAUGUUCUUUACUUUGUAUAACCUAUAAUGCUGAGGUUUUUUGUAUGUUCACUAAAGUCUAUAAUUAGUGCAUUCCUUAACAAUUUCUGCUGUUUGUCAUGAUUAUCUAAGACUUCAGUGCAAAUGUUGCAUGAAAACAUCAAACUCUUGUUUAAGUAAAAUAAUAAACUAGACUUCUAAAUACCUGUUUGUCCGAAAUCUACUCUUUGCAAUAAGUCAUGUUAUUUCCUAUUCAUGGAGCCAGUUGAGUAUAUAUAAAUAUUAUUGUAGCAGGCAUUAAUGUUGUAGCUUAAUCUCUGAAGGAAUUACAUGGGGAUAUUGUGUUGAACAUAUUGCCUCUUCACAUUUCUCACAAAAGCUGUUCAUCAUUAUUCUGAAGGAAAAAUUGCCUUUACUGAACAUCUGAUGACUUCUGUUUACAUAUAGAUGUUGAGAAGACACUUACGCAAUCUGUUAGACUUUCUGAUGGUCUGAUUUGUUUUGAGGAAAAGACCACUGUGUGUUAUGUGAAAAGUGCAGAAUGGGGUGAGGAAAUCGGGCAGCUCAGAACUGUGAGUGUUUUAAGUAGUGUGAUAAAGAAGGGUGCUCUGGAAAGGUAAAUGAGAAUAUUUCAAUAGUGCCUCUGUGCUUGGUGAUAUUUGUGAUACUGUACUUUGAGAAUUAGAUUUAUAAGAUGCUUAGUAUUGUCAAGACCUCAGAAAAUCUAAAUGCAAUCACCUCUGUGUAAGUUGCUCAGCUCUUCAACUCUUCUGUGAUUUAAGCAAAAGUAAAGCAGGUAGCGCUUGUUUUUUAUAAUCAUGCUUUUAAGGUCUGUGUGAUGUACAAGUCUGUUUAAAUAAACAAUAAAAAUAUCACUGGCAUA